Drosophila innubila is the source of this 166-nucleotide long non-coding RNA. RefSeq lists it as uncharacterized. The record is from RefSeq and is a predicted model, not a curated record. The transcript has 2 exons. NCBI's taxonomy places the organism in Eukaryota, Metazoa, Arthropoda, Insecta, Diptera, Drosophilidae.
AGUUUGUGUUUGGAGCGUCGUCUGGCCGCAUGUGUAGUACGAGUAGUAGAAAAACUUUCACAUCAGAGAUAUGAAAGGACUGAAAAAGCAAACUUUUCCGUGUGAAUAAGUGAAAUAUUGCAUGCGAUAAAAAACACAAAAAUCAAAAUAAAUUAAAGGAACGCAA